CGGACGGGUGAGUAAUGUCUGGGAAACUGCCUGAUGGAGGGGGAUAACUACUGGAAACGGUAGCUAAUACCGCAUAACGUCGCAAGACCAAAGAGGGGGACCUUCGGGCCUUUUGCCAUCGGAUGUGCCCAGAUGGGAUUAGCUAGUAGGUGGGGUAACGGCUCACCUAGGCGACGAUCCCUAGCUGGUCUGAGAGGAUGGCCAGCCACACUGGAACUGAGACACGGUCCAG
Molecule: ribosomal RNA, 232 nt
Filed under: uncultured bacterium
Lineage: Bacteria
Description: partial 16S ribosomal RNA
Rfam family: Bacterial small subunit ribosomal RNA
Source: RNAcentral